AGAACCAGUCCGACCAGCUUGGCGCUGGGCCGCCUCCCCGCGCUGUGUCGCGGCCCGGGGUGCCGGGGAGCUGGGCUGCGGGGCGGGGACCCCUGCCGGGAACCCGACUUAGCCCGGAGAAGCUCCAGAGCAGGAAGCCGAGCGGAAAAGUUAGCGCAGGUUGUGGAAAUCAUAUGAGUUCCCUGCUAGUGACAUCGGGGUGCACAGAUGAAUGUCGACAAGCCCCAGGGAGUUCUGAACAGAGGCCAAGGCAGGCCCUGGAGCUGUUUGCUGUUUACAGGAAAAAAGAAAGAGGGGACCCCAAUAGUCUAGGUCCCUGGAUCCUCUGACUGGGGGCCUGACACUGUCAGGGAAGCUGCUGUCUCCCUGGGGACCUAUUGAACGUUCUUCCCAUGGCUGGUCAGUGCUGACACCUCAACACAGGAAGAAAAAUACUCCUAUGAAGUCAUUUGAAGCCUGGUCAUGCCAGGGACACUUCAUGAAGCCAGGGAACAGUCCUGUCUCUAAAAGCCCAAAAUCUAAUAGCCUCUCUACAGCUAUAAAAGCCCAAAGACAUG
RNAcentral lists this non-coding RNA (557 nucleotides) under Pongo abelii (Sumatran orangutan). Lineage: Eukaryota; Metazoa; Chordata; Mammalia; Primates; Hominidae. The record is from RNAcentral.